AAUAGAUACCCAGGUAGUCCACGCCGUAAACGAUGAGUGCUAAGUGUUAGAGGGUUUCCGCCCUUUAGUGCUGCAGCUAACGCAUUAAGCACUCCGCCUGGGGAGUACGGUCGCAAGACUGAAACUCAAAGGAAUUGACGGGGGCCCGCACAAGCGGUGGAGCAUGUGGUUUAAUUCGAAGCAACGCGAAGAACCUUACCAGGUCUUGACAUCCCACUGACCGGUAUAGAGAUAUACCUUUCCCUUCGGGGACAGUGGUGACAGGUGGUGCAUGGUUGUCGUCAGCCCGUGUCGUGAGAUGUUGGGUUAAGUCCCGCAACGAGCGCAACCCUUGAUCUUAGUUGCCAGCAUUUAGUUGGGCACUCUAAGGUGACUGCCGGUGACAAACCGGAGGAAGGUGGGGAUGACGUCAAAUCAUCAUGCCCCUUAUGACCUGGGCUACACACGUGCUACAAUGGAUGGUACAAAGGGCUGCAAGACUGCGAAGUCAAGCCAAUCCCAUAAAACCAUUCUCAGUUCGGAUUGCAGG
RNAcentral lists this ribosomal RNA (529 nucleotides) under uncultured bacterium. Its description in RNAcentral is "bacterial SSU rRNA". It matches the Rfam family "Bacterial small subunit ribosomal RNA", at positions 777 to 1304 of the family's 1533-position model. The record is from RNAcentral.